UUUCUCUCGAUUGUUCUUGUUCUUGUAUUAUUGUUCUUGUUCUUAUAUUAUUUCAUAACACGAAACUGGUUUUUACUCAUAUCUUUAAUUUAUUAUUAUGACUGCGCGUUACCCUAGUUAGUCGUAAUUGAGGACUCGUUUUACGAUCUAGAGGCUGUUUGGAUAAGCUUAAAAGCUUUUAAACCAUUUUUAAUUGUUGGGAGCGUUUGGCAAAAUAUAAAACAACUUAAAAAAAAAGUUAAAAAAGGCUUAAAAAAAGCUAAAAGCCAAAAGUGGGCUAAUCCUAACUUUUCCAUUUUUGGCUUAAAAGUCAUCUUAUGUUGACCGAUGAAAUUACCUGUUUGUCCUUAUAACUUUUGCUAAUCUCAAAACGAUCCUCAUCAAAGAUCAAAUGAAUCUAAAAAUGUUUAUCUUCUUUCCUAUUCUUUCUGUACAUCUUCUCAAAACUCACAUUUCUGUUCAUCUUCUUUUCUGUUCUUCUCCUUCAUCUUCAGUUGUUCUAUAAUUUCAUUCAAGUUUUUAGUAGAAAUCGAUCCUUGCUGUAAGUUUAUUAUUCUUUCCUUAUGCUUUUUUCCUUAUAUGUAUUUUAUUUGAGGUAUGAGAACGGAGAAAAAUCAUAUAUGCCCCUGAAUUAUACGUUUUAGAUCAAUAAUGCCCUUCAUCCACCUAUUGGGCCAAAUAUGUCCUUCCAUUAAUGUUUUUGGCUCACAAAUGCUAUUUGAGUUAACAGAGGGGCACGUGUCAUCAUCCUGUUGGUGCAUUCUGAAUAUUUCGUAAUUAAUUAAAAAGACUCAUUAUUCAUACACAAAAAAUAAUUUUCGAGAGCAAUUCUUCUAAAAAAGUUUUUUUUACUAAAAAUUGAAGAAUAUGCUCCUGACUUAUACGUUUUGGAGUCAAUAAUGCCCUUCAUCCACCUAUUGGGCUUAGGGGUGUUUAUCGAGCGGAUUGGGCGGCUUUUUACUCUUAACGGUUUUGCUUAAUGGUUAUCGACUUUUAAAUAUAUUAAUAUGUUAGCCACCCGAUAAGAUAUCGGGCGGAUUGAUAUCGGGUUAGCUCUUAUAGGGCGGUUAU
Molecule: long non-coding RNA, 1071 nt
Filed under: Nicotiana benthamiana
Lineage: Eukaryota; Viridiplantae; Streptophyta; Magnoliopsida; Solanales; Solanaceae
Description: long non-coding RNA (NBEN_LNC035979)
Source: RNAcentral